RNAcentral lists this ribosomal RNA (372 nucleotides) under uncultured organism. Its description in RNAcentral is "bacterial SSU rRNA". It matches the Rfam family "Bacterial small subunit ribosomal RNA", at positions 526 to 896 of the family's 1533-position model. The record is from RNAcentral.
CGUAGGUGGCGAGCGUUGUCCGGAAUUACUGGGUGUAAAGGGCGUGUAGGCGGGAAUGUAAGUCAGAUGUGAAAUUCCAGGGCUCAACCCUGGCGCUGCAUCUGAAACUAUGUUUCUUGAGUGCUGGAGAGGAAAGCGGAAUUCCUAGUGUAGCGGUGAAAUGCGUAGAUAUUAGGAGGAACACCAGUGGCGAAGGCGGCUUUCUGGACAGUAACUGACGCUGAGGCGCGGAAGCGUGGGGAGCAAACAGGAUUAGAUACCCUGGUAGUCCACGCUGUAAACGAUGGAUACUAGGUGUAGGAGGUAUCGACCCCUUCUGUGCCGCAGUUAACACAAUAAGUAUCCCACCUGGGGAGUACGGCCGCAAGGUUG